UCAAACUUGGUCAUUUAGAGGAAGUAAAAGUCGUAACAAGGUUUCCGUAGGUGAACCUGCGGAAGGAUCAUUAAAGAAAUAAACCUGGUGGGCUGUCGCUGGCAAUCUCUCUUUGCAUGUGCACGUCCAUCAUCUUUAUCCAUUUCCACCUGUGCACCUUUUGUAGACCCGGAUCGCAUCUUUUCAGAGACUCCUGGAAUCGGGAUUGACGAUGUCUAGUCGUUCUCUCCUUGGUGUUGUAUUAGCCGCUCAGAGUCUUCUGUCGUUGGGAUUGCCACAUAUUUUGAGGCUCUCCUUUCGCGUCCCCCGGUGCUCUAUGUCAACCUUUACACAAACGAAAUAUAUCAGAAUGUUGUUACAGGUCUUUGCACCUAUAAUAAAAACUAUACAACUUUCAGCAACGGAUCUCUUGGCUCUCGCAUCGAUGAAGAACGCAGC
RNAcentral lists this unclassified non-coding RNA (438 nucleotides) under uncultured fungus. RNAcentral's name for it is "partial contains small subunit ribosomal RNA, internal transcribed spacer 1, and 5.8S ribosomal RNA". The stretch from base 1 to 73 matches the Rfam family "Eukaryotic small subunit ribosomal RNA", at positions 1759 to 1831 of the family's 1831-position model. Lineage: Eukaryota; Fungi. The record is from RNAcentral.